Molecule: ribosomal RNA, 403 nt
Filed under: uncultured bacterium
Lineage: Bacteria
Description: bacterial SSU rRNA
Rfam family: Bacterial small subunit ribosomal RNA
Source: RNAcentral
UGAGGGAUAUUGGUCAAUGGGCGCAAGCCUGAACCAGCGACGCCGCGUGGGUGAAGAAGGUCUUCGGAUCGUAAAGCCCUUUUCCCACUGAAGAGGAAGGACGGUAGGUGGGGAAGAAGUCUCGGCUAACUACGUGCCAGCAGCCGCGGUAAAACGUAGGAGGCAAGCGUUGUCCGGAUUUACUGGGUGUAAAGGGCGCGCAGGCGGGAUAAAAAGUCAGUGGUGAAAUCCUACAGCUUAACUGUAGAACUGCCUUUGAUACUUUUAUUCUUGAGUUCGGGAGAGAGAGACGGAAUUCCAGGUGUAGUGGUGAAAUACGUAGAUAUCUGGAAGAACACCAGUUGCGAAGGCGGUCUCUUGGUCCGACACUGACGCUGAGGCGCGAAAGCGUGGGGAGCAAACA